This is a long non-coding RNA of Eptatretus burgeri (inshore hagfish), 2260 nucleotides long. Lineage: Eukaryota; Metazoa; Chordata; Myxini; Myxiniformes; Myxinidae. The record is from Ensembl.
GCGUCCCGUUAGUUUCACCAGAAUUAAUUUGGUUCUUAAAUUUCAACAAACGUGUCCAAAAUGAGUUGGAGUCGUUUCCAGAUUUGGAAUAUUUCAUAGGCAGAGACUGUGAUCCGAGCAAACGAAAGGAUCAUCCAGAAGGGAUCUCGAGUUUCUCCCCAUCGAAGUUCACGUGGUUCUGACGAUGUUUUCUAUUCCCACACCACGACUUCCCUUCCUCCCGUCCCAGGCACAGUGCUCUGCUCGCUCGCCGUUGCGCUCGUCCUGCUCCUGGCGACCACCGUGGCUCGACCUCAAUCUGAGUCCCAGGUGCGCAUGGCGGCACCCCACGGCCAAUCUCUAGGGGUCUCCUGGCCGCACAUGUCCCAAACGCUGUCCUCUGGAUCCAAACUGGCCGAGACUACUCGCUUGGCUGCCAACAGAUUGCUCCGAGACUACAACAAGAAGAUGCUGGCUGGUGCAGAGAUUGGAGCUCAUCACCGAAUUCCUAAUACACCCCUGCCUGAAUGCUCCAACAAGCCAACUACCCCAAAUGCCUUCUGGAACUAUGUCAAAGAAUCUUGCCUUCCGAGCAUCCUCCGAUCAUUGCGGUUCCACAAGCAAGAGCUGCAAGACCUAAACAACACCCGAAAGGAGUUUGGCAAUCAGCUGUUUCGUCUCCUCAACAACAUUGAAGAGCUGAUCAAGCUCCUAUCUGCAGAGAUUCACAGUGGUGUGGAACAGGUACAGCUGCCUGAAGAACAAGUACCUUUCCCGACAAGAACGGGUGAUCUGGGCAGCUGGGAGAACAUCGUGCAUGAACACAACCUUUUGACUAGCUUCGCUCAUGAAGCAGAGAAUAUCGCUCGCAUCUUGCGUCCACUACGCCCUCGAUAACACCACCCUAUCUCCAACAUCCUGAGUCCUCAACACCCUCGAUAACACCACCCUAUCUCCAACAUCCUGAGUCUACUACAGCCUCGAUAACACCACCCUAUCUCCAACAUCCUGAGUCUACUACAGCCUCGAUAACACCACCCUAUCUCCAACAUCCUGAGUCCUCUACGCCUUCGAUAACACGACCCUAUCUCCAACAUCCUGAGUCCUCUACGCCCUCGAUAACACCACCCUAUCUCCAACAUCCUGAGUCCACUACACCCUCGAUAACACCACCCUAUCUCCAACAUCCUGAGUGCUCUACGCCCUCGAUAACACCACCCUAUCUCCAACAUCCUGAGUCCUCUACACCCUCGAUAACACCACCCUAUCUCCAACAUCCUGAGUGCUCUACGCCCUCGAUAACAUGACCCUAUGUCCCUCACCCUGCAUCCUCGACACCCUCGAUAACAUGACCCGAUUGAGGAUCUGCAUUCACACGGCGCUUUGGUAUACCAGGACACUGUGACCUGUUCAGAAUGUAUGAUGACACAAUGUCUCUCUGAACCCUCUAGAGCCCACGAAAUGUUCUGAAAGAACAAAAACCGAUGACCCCUGGGGCUCUAGAGGGUUAAAGAAUUUAUUUUUUUAAACAGACUGUUUAUUUCUAAUUAGGGUACCCUGUGAGUACAGGGUACCCUAUUGUUUUUCUUCUGUUUAUUUAUUAUUUAUUUAUUUUUUUAUUUUUCCGCCGGCAUUUUGCACCCUUUUUCGCUUUAAAAAUCAUUUUCUCUGGGACACUAAGACCGAUCGACACGAAAUUUUCACCAUAGGAUGUAUCUUUUUUGAUAGCACAAUCAAGUUAUAAUUAUGACGUCAUUGGUCACGUGGUGCGGGCGCCAUCUUGAAAAAAACAGUAAACUUUGGACCUCUGUAUCUCAGAAACCGUGCAAUGGAAAAUUUUUUCGCUUGAUACAUUUUACUAAGCUCCCUAUGGGGAACACGUGUGAUUUUUCGUGACGUCAUAGGUGAAGCGAUAUACCGGUGAAAAUUCGUCAAGUAGAACGCCGUAUGGGAAAAAUCUGAAAAAUUCUGAGCAUCAUCUACGCCUAAAAUCACUGACGAAAAUGUUUUUCUUGACGUCAUCGAUGACGUAAUUCGGCCGCCAUCUUGUUUUUUAGUGUUUUUUUUUUUUAAUCUUCUUCUCCAGAAGGGCUGGACAGAUUGAGGCGAGACUUUACAGGUACAUUCUCCAAGAGGUCCUUUCUCAAGUUUGUUAAUUUCUUGUUGACAGGUCACAUGGUUUGGCGGCCAUCUUGAAAAAACCUUAAAACCUUCAAACAUCUUCUUCUCCAGAAGCGCUGGUCCAAUGAAGGCGAGAUUUCAGAACUAUAUUCGUGACAUG